AGGCGAUGGGAGAGCGCCCCGCGCAGCUCAAAAGGCAGGCAGACCUCGGAGGAAGAAGCAGCAGCAAGAGAAGCAGCGGCAGCAAUAGAGGAAAGGCUCCGCUCGGCUCCCUUCACGCUGCAAGCCGCGAAUGAGUAGCCUGCUGAGCCCGGUUUCUGCAGCUAGAGCUCCAUGUGGAUGAAGGAUUAACGGAGAACUAAAAGCGAGUGACCCUCAAGAAAAAUGAAAGCAUAUUUUAAAACAUUAUACAUACAAACAUUGCCUUGAAAAUCCUGAACAGAUGCAGCUGGCAAGAAAGCAUUAAAGGGGUGAAAAAAUUCAUAGAAUCAUAGAGUUGGAAGAGACCACAGGGGCUAUCCAGUCCAACCCCCUGCCAUGCAGAAAAAGCACAAUCAAAGCACCCCCAACAGAUGGCCAUUUAGCCUCCAUUUAAAAGCCUCCAAGGAUCCUCCAUCACACUCAGAGGCAGUGAGUUCCACUGCUGGACUGCUCUUACGAUCAAGAAGUUCUUGCUAAUGUUCAAGGGAAUCUUCUUUCCUAUAAUUUGAACCCAUAUUCCAAGUCUUGGAAUCCGUUAUCAUUACAUUUAACCAUAUUUACAGAAAAAAUAUGCACUUAAACGUACCCCUCAUAUUAAAGUGAUUCAUAAAAGGUUUCCCUGUAAGAACUAUGUUGAGAAAUUCUUCAACAAUGAGUUGGAUUUUUGUAUUUUCCAGUCGUCCCUCUGUCACAGUAUGGAACUAAUGGCAGAUAUGAAGGAAACUGUGUGAACUAUGUUUAUAUACCAUCGUAGCAAAUGCAUGCCUAUAUCAACACCAUUGUGCACUGUGUAUGUGCCUCCUGUGCAUGUUUUUUCCAACUAAAAAAUUGGCCUCUA
Anolis carolinensis (green anole) is the source of this 877-nucleotide long non-coding RNA. RefSeq lists it as uncharacterized. The record is from RefSeq and is a predicted model, not a curated record. The transcript is spliced from 2 exons. NCBI's taxonomy places the organism in Eukaryota, Metazoa, Chordata, Lepidosauria, Squamata, Anolidae.